CGGAAUCGCACGUCGACGGGAAGAGUAUCGCCGGAACUAUUAUAAUUACCGCCGGUCGCAUAGAUUAUUCGUUGGAAACAACGCGUCGUGAGAGGAGAGGAAAUUCGAAAAAAAGAAGAAAAAAAUUAGAAACACCGAUUCACUUUUUUUUUGGGGGUUAUUUUAAUUGAUUUGUGUGAAUUAAAUAUUCUGCGAUGGAUGUGAUUGGAUAGAAGGAAACAAAAAGGAAAGGAGGAAGAUAAAAGAGAAGGCGAAUUAUUCUGCUCCUCUCUCUCUCUCUCUCUCUUUCUUCUCUGUCGAACAUCGCUGUUGCUGCUGUGUGUUUUCUUCGUGCAUCCUUUUAUUUUUCAAGGUAAUGAAUUUCACGAGAUCCAUUCUUCACAAGUUUCUUUCUUUUUUUAAAUUUAAUUUAAUUUAGUGGAAAAAAUGUUUGGGAGGAAGCGUAAUUGUGUUUGUUUGUAAAUUAGGUAAGCUCUUUGUAUUUGUUUUUUUAUUUGCUGGUGAGUAAUUUAGGUUUAUUUUCUUAAAUUAAGUUAAACUGGGUGCCCAAGUUUGUGAAUUAGGUAGGAGUUGGUUCCCUGUUUGCAUAUAAUGAGCUGAACAAGGAUCAUGAAUUAGGCGAAAUUGUAGUCUCUUAUGGCUUUUUGAAAUACCUAAUCUUUGUCUUCCAGGUGUUUCUACUCCGCUUUAAAGGAGAGAGGUUUAAGAUGAUUUUUUUCGUAUUGAACUUCUUCUUAGAGUACGUAAAGUUGCUGACUUUGUUUGGAUUUAGGGUUUGAUUUUGCUUAGUUCUAAUUGAAUUCUUGUGUUGUUUUUUUUUGUGUCCUUUGAGUUAUUUUGCUUAAUCUUUUUUGUCUGGCAAGAUCCUUCUUUGCAAUGAAUAGUGGAUUUUGUUUCUUUUGGAGACUUACUGGCUUUGAAUCUAAAACUGGUUGUUCAUCUUUCAGGGGAAGUGAUAUGGUCCGUUGAAAAAGACUAAAAAGCUACAAAAGAGAUUUUGUUUUAUUAUUCCAAAUUUUGCUGUCAUCUGCAUGAUGCCGUCUGAUAUAAUGGAACAGAGAGGUGUAUCAACACCUUCCCACUUUCGUGAAGAUACUCGUAUUAGUUCAGAGGUAACUUUUUCUUUUACUGUGUAGCACCAUCUUUGUCACAUUAUCUGCCACUAUUUUCUAUGAUGUUUAAAACUGUUUUCUUUUUGUUUCUCAAGUAUACUUGUUCUUUUGUCUGGCAGAGGCAAUUUGGGUUUCUGAAAACAGACCUGAUGCCUGAAAACCAAGGUGGUCGUGAUAGAUUUUCAAAUCUGCCAAAGAGUUCCUGGACACCUGAAAGUCACCAGCUGAAGCCAGUAUCAAUAACAUUAAAGCAAAAUAUUAUACAAAAAAUUAAAAUGCACAUUUAAUACAACUUAUAAAGCAAAAUACACAAAGGAUAAAAUUAUAUGAAAACAAAAUUAUUACAUCAAUUAAUAAAAGUACACGAUUUCAACAAUUUUAGCUUGUAAGCUACAAGUAAAAAAAAAAAAAAAAGUUGGCUAUUAUUUCAAAAUGCAUGUAAUAUGCUAGUAAAAUGUAUUAUCUUACUAAUAGUAAUUAAUAUUCUUUUCGUUCCACAAAUAUAAUUUUUUUAGUAUUUUCACACAUAUUAAGAAAACACGCUAAACUACCAUAAUAAAUGUAUUGUUUUAUGUAAUUUUCAAUUUUCAAUAACUUUUAACCAAUAGUAAUUCAAUAAAGUCAAUUAAUUUCUUUGAAAUUUACAAAUUUUUCAUAGAAAACACAAAAAUACAUAUUUGUGAAACAAACUUUUUCAAAAAAGUCUAUCUUGAUGAAACGGAUGGAGUAUUAUGUAUAAUAUUUUUAUUAUAUAUUUUAUUGCUAAAUAAAAAUUUUAUGACUUUUGUUUACUUUUUCACCAAUAAAAGACUAUAAUGCAAAAUGUAAAAUAUUUAAAGUUUAAUUUGAAGUUGUUAUUUCGGAAAUAAUCACCUUCGAAGUUUAAAUUUGUAAUAUUGCAAACUUUAUUUGGAGAUGUUUUCACGGUCGACUUGCUACAUGACUCUUUUUUUUUUGUAGCAUGCUACAUGACCCUCUAUUCUUUUUUUUCCCCUAUUUAUUGUUACUUUACAAUUGAAAUAAUAAGGCAAAAUACAAUAGUGGAUGACUUUUUUCCCCAUACCACCUUUUUCGGUUUUCUCUAUUUGGUUGUUCGAACCUGCACAUGCUCAUUUGAUAGCGUGGAAGGAUUGGCCAUCAAACAAAUAAAAAUUCACAAUCAAGGAUAUUUAUUAUCAGUUUUUGUUGUUGUGCACUUCAUUGUAAAAUAAAAAAAAUCCAAACACGGAUGAUAACAACCGUGGAUCACGAGUAAACUAAUUCACUCAGUCAUAAAAAGAAAGAGAUAUAGUGAGCAAAAAAUCAUUUUAAGAUAGUAUUGAUCCAACCAACCAAACAUUAUCUUCAAAAAUUACAAUGUUUUUACGACAGUUGAUAAAAAAAAAGCUUAUUUAGUAAACAUAAAAACUAUGGAGUAGUUUUUUUUGUAAACACAAACUAUAGUUUCAGACUUUGUUUUGUAUUCUUUCAACAAAGAGUGUAACUAUAAAAACAUUCUUAUCAACUUUUCGCUCAAGUUGUUACAGAAAAAAACUUAAUCAAGAAUUAAAAUGACACUUAUAAAAUUAUCAAUAUAAUAAAAUUAUUAAUUUAUAGAGGUUAUAUCAAUUAAAAACUAACAACUUUUAUUCGUGUUUUCAUUCAUAUAUAAUAGUAAAGUGUAAUUUCCUAACUUCAUUUGAACAUAUUCUAAUAAAUAGUUUGUAGAUUAAAAACAAAUCACACUUUGAAAAGAAAAAAAAAUCAAAUAGUCCACAUGUUCAAUAAAUAGGCUGCUCCUUGGUUACAAAACCGCGCUCAUCGACUGCUCGCUGCCGUCGAGACUCUCGUGUGAGACCGUAAUUUUUGUCAGUUUUAGUUAUAAUCUACGGUCCAGAUUUAAUAUCGUACGAAACCACUAGAUCCACGAUACAUCCAACACAGAAGAGUGCUCUCCUCUCCUCAACUCUAUUUUGUUUUUUUCCUCUCAUUCUUUUUUUAGUCGAAACUCUAAACCAACUAACCGAAAAAAACAAAAAACUCUUUCUCUCCUCUCCAUUUCUCUCUCUAGGAGAGACAACCGGAAUCGCACGUCGACGGGAAGAGUAUCGCCGGAACUAUUAUAAUUACCGCCGGUCGCAUAGAUUAUUCGUUGGAAACAACGCGUCGUGAGAGGAGAGGAAAUUCGAAAAAAAGAAGAAAAAAAUUAGAAACACCGAUUCACUUUUUUUUUGGGGGUUAUUUUAAUUGAUUUGUGUGAAUUAAAUAUUCUGCGAUGGAUGUGAUUGGAUAGAAGGAAACAAAAAGGAAAGGAGGAAGAUAAAAGAGAAGGCGA
Molecule: long non-coding RNA, 3426 nt
Filed under: Brassica napus (rape)
Lineage: Eukaryota; Viridiplantae; Streptophyta; Magnoliopsida; Brassicales; Brassicaceae
Description: long non-coding RNA (BNAP_LNC005206)
Source: RNAcentral